Molecule: long non-coding RNA, 1387 nt
Organism: Capsicum annuum
Lineage: Eukaryota; Viridiplantae; Streptophyta; Magnoliopsida; Solanales; Solanaceae
Exons: 7
Source: RefSeq, a predicted model, not a curated record
AAACCCGGUCCAAAAAAUAAUCAGAAAUAAGAAAUAGGAAUCUAGAGCUUUCCUAAAUCUAGCUGCCAGCCGUUUCUUUCAUUUCUGAAAAUAAUUAGUGUAGUAGCUGUCACAGAAUGACCAAGUAAAAUCAGAUGCAUAUCCCAGAUGAUUUGAACAUGCAGAUGAGAUCUGAGCUUGAUGCAGCUGAAAAUGAUCAUUUUAAGCUGGAAUGACAUGGUUAAGUUACCAAAAUUUGGUGUGUUUAAAGAUUUUUCAGGGAACUACAAAUGAAAUUAAACGCAGAUGUGGACAUACUAUUAAGUUUCAUGGUUUAUCAGUUGCAAUAAAUCACAUGCAUAACUGGCUUUUGCCAUCGGUCCAUUUCAUCGGUUUGUUGUCCAGGAUAUGAUGACUGAUCAGAAAUAUCAUAAUACAGUCCCAGCGUGGUCCGUUCCUGUGAGUAUUCAUUUUCUACCAUACAACUGCUUAUGAUGAUGAAUUCAGGAGUGUCAACGCGGUGUUGAUUAUACUGUACUUGCAAUUUUCAAAAAGUUGAGUUUUUUCUAAUCAAAUCCCGAAGUUUCUAGUAUUUUUCAAUAGAUUUCUCUGUUGAAACAGCUAUAUGCAAUUGUAUUGCCUAUUGUCAUCUUCAUUUUCAUCUAUCUUUGAAGGAGGGAUGUCUAUGAUCUGUACCACAACGUUCUAGAUCGGAAGGCAAAAUUUUUGUUCUAAGUUUACACAGCGCGAAUUGUUCAAGAAAGAAUACACGACAAAAAUGGUUCAAAUGGGUCAUAGAUCAUACAUUCCUACCAAGUGUUUAGUUCUUCCUUGAUGGUUUUGUCUUUUGGAAUAUGAUCGUUGGAAUUUUGGGGUGCAAGGCUUCUGAUUUUCUAGAGAGUAUGCUGGAGUUUGUCUACAAAUGAGAAUGUCCUACAGUCCAGCAGCACACCUGUUCCUUUUUUUAGUGCAGUGGACUGAUUGUCACCUUGCUGGUGCCCUUGAAUUGCUGAGAAUUCUAAUUUUCAAGGUUUAUGUUGAUGGCACCACAAACAUGUCAGUUCAAGAAAGAAAAGCAAGCAUUAAGGAGUUUUAUGGUUCAGAAGACAAAAAAGGCAAAAACUGUUUGCAUGGAGAGAUAUAGGAGAAGAGAUGUUGAGGAUUACUGAGAGUCUUCUGACUCAGACAUUGAAAGAGAAGAGGAAUAUGGAACCUUCAGUUUUGAAGUUAUGUAAGUCUUAAGCAAAUGUAACUCAACUGAGAUUUGGAUUUUCUCUAGCAUCGCGCAACUACGCCAGUAAUUAGCGGAUAUGUCGAACUUAAUUACUUGCCUUUGUAAUUACAUGAACAACAAUAUGCAAGAUAGUUAUCCCUUGAUAAUUGAAUAUAAAGUCGAUUUCUUUAUUUA